UGGAUAUGAAAUUUUUUCUAUAAAUUGAGUUUUUUUCCACGGUUUCUUUCAGUUUCAAUUUUCAAUUAGGGUUUCAGUUUCAAUCUCACCUCUUAGGAGGCAAUUGUUUGGAUGUUGGUGUGUGUGUGUGUAUGAUUGUGUAUCUGAUUCACAUACAUUUACACAUCACCAACGUUGAAAAAAAUUUCUCUCUGAAUGAAUAUCUGUGGCUGCUGUCAUCAAAAUUUUAAAAG
Molecule: long non-coding RNA, 233 nt
Filed under: Prunus persica (peach)
Lineage: Eukaryota; Viridiplantae; Streptophyta; Magnoliopsida; Rosales; Rosaceae
Description: long non-coding RNA (PPER_LNC003447)
Source: RNAcentral